GACGUAGGGCGCAAGCGUUGUCCGGAUUUAUUGGGCGUAAAGAGCUCGUAGGCGGCCUGUCGCGUCGACCGUGAAAACCCGCAGCUCAACUGCGGGCUUGCGGUCGAUACGGGCAGGCUGGAGUUCGGUAGGGGAGACUGGAAUUCCUGGUGCAGCGGUGAAAUGCGCAGAUAUCGGGAGGAACACCAGUGGCGAAGGCGAUCACCUGGGGUUGUUCUGACGCUGAGGAGCGAAAGCUAGGGGAGCAAACGGG
Molecule: ribosomal RNA, 253 nt
Filed under: uncultured bacterium
Lineage: Bacteria
Description: partial 16S ribosomal RNA
Rfam family: Bacterial small subunit ribosomal RNA
Source: RNAcentral